RNAcentral lists this small RNA (161 nucleotides) under Burkholderia cenocepacia. Its description in RNAcentral is "Bcj7". The stretch from base 56 to 138 matches the Rfam family "Burkholderia RNA 7 (anti-hemB)". Rfam says of the family: This RNA motif was identified by computational search in b-proteobacteria Burkholderia. Co-purified with Hfq, expression confirmed by Northern blot. Putative functional homologue of SP-RydB and predicted target hemB. The record is from RNAcentral. Lineage: Bacteria; Pseudomonadati; Pseudomonadota; Betaproteobacteria; Burkholderiales; Burkholderiaceae.
AUUUUCGAGAUCGUUGGUAUAUGAUAGCGAUCGAGCGGCACGCGUUGCGUGCAGCUCCCCGCUUCUCCUCCCUGAGCGGGUGCCUGUCGUUUUUCGAUUAGGCUGUUUGACCCGCCGUUCAACGGCGGGUUUUUUUAUGAGCCGGCCGAAUCCGCAGGUAC